UGUCAGCAGUGACUCCAUAACUGUAGCAAAUGCUGCACUAGAGUACAAACUCAAGAGCUUGGUCACAGACACUCUGUGAGCCACACAGCUUACAUUUGACUGGCAGGUACUAAAUGUAAACAACUUUGGGGUGCUGGGAGGGGGGUGGGGGUGGGAUUUUGUGGGUGAUAACUUUGACCAAAAGUAAAAUCUUGCUCUUGUACUGCAGCCAGCUUAUGAUUUUUCCAGAGAGUCAGAAGAGGGAUCAUUUUAGUGCAACAAAGACAUGAAAAAUGUAAAUAAAAGUUUGGUAUCUUGCCAGGGCACACGCUUGUAAUAAGAACAGGAUAGCAGCGUUGAGUGAGGUGCGUGUGCUCUGCUUGGAUGUGGGGUAGGUGAGCCCGGUGCCAUGCUCUGAUGGUCCCUCUUGAAGCACAGAACUUUUAAAUGGAAAGUAUUACUUUACACUUGGCCUCUUAUUGAGGAUUGGCACUUACCUGAACUAUCGGGGGCACCGUUCUUAGGUGGCUUCCAGUACCGAAGGAAGCAGCCUAUUCGUGGUGCUAAUAGGCUAUCUCCAACAGAUGCAAAUGGAAAGAUGCUCCAAAUGACUAGGGUAAGCCUAGGGUUUUUUUCCUUUGUUUGUUUUUCUCCCCGAGAUUAAUUGUGCAUCAAUCUUGGCUUCUUGAGAUUCCUUGUGACACCCUGUUCCUUUUCUAGUCAGACGCCAGCCUUUACAUUUAUGCAUUACUUGGGGCCAGUCUCUUCCUUCAGCGGAGGAGCCCUUGGGCCAAAUACUUCCUCUGACAAAGAUGGCAUCAAUAAUAAAAUGAUCAGUUCUGCAUUUUUUCCUCCCAGAAGUCUAAAACUCCUUGAAUUGAGGUGAAAUGGCUGCAAAGAGAUCGACACCACUCUGCAGCCAAUUUAUUCAGAUGAGCUGCAGGCUGGCCUCAGGGUGCGCGCUGCCAGGAGUGCAGUGCAGUUCUGUAGGGCUUUCCCUCAGCGGGGGGUGGGGGGUGGGUUGGUCUCAGAUAUGUAUUUUAAUUUCCAGAAUGAGAUGGGAGCAUCUUUCCUUUGCGCUCUGGGACUUUUUGUUGUUGUGGGUAAGAACACGGAAGCUCGAUAUGAAUUUGUUGUAUUCACGUUGGUAUCAAAUCAUCUCAUUCUGAUUUUGAUUUUGAUUUUUUUACUUGGGUUGGGGGAGGGUGUCUGCUCUAAGGAUUUAAAAAUGCUUCGCAUGUUGUCGUAAUGAUUGAAAUGAUGGUGAAAGCCUGGAGCAGAGGGCUGUCCUGCAACGGCUCCCGUUCUGCAGGAUGCCACAGCACGUGGGCUGAGCUGCAUCACAGCUCCCUUAUCCUGCUGCUGUGCUUGGCAGCGCUGCUGGGAAGGUUGGGCACAACAGGCGUUUCCAACUGCUGUGAACUUGCAGUCUCUUGAAUUGGAGUUGAUAAUAAAUGAGGGCUCUGGACCAAAGAGCAUCUGGCCUUCACGUGAAGGCUUUGCUGGAUCAUCCCCUGUGUUUUGCUCAGUUCACUGCUGUGUUGCUGACGUGUCUACAUGGAAGCAUUUUUAAAUUCUGCUCUAGACAAAGUGAGGGAAGGGUAAGGAGGGGUGGUGGGAGGGAUGGGUUUAUUAAGAUACAGCCUCGCUGUAUUUUAACCAAUAAUUAAAGGGAAGGGGUGGCAGGAGAAGAAAACAGUCAUUGUUCCCGUUACAGAAAAAAAAAUAAAAGGAACUUUAUUUGAAGAAAAAAUUAUUGCAGUUCAGUGGGGUAUCAUAACCCACCGGUCCCUAGUCAAGAAGUUGAAUGUUACUGUUAAUCAGUGAACAACACGGACAAAUCAUUGCAAACAUUUGGGGGGGAGGGGAAAAUUGGCUUUCGGUUAAAUUGGUGAUUGGCAAACUCUCCGGCGGAGCUGAGAAUUGGUUGAGGAUGUAUUUCUCUCUGGAUGCGUGUGUCACAGCACCGACUCGGGGGGAGUUUCACGAGUUCAGAGUGCAAAAAUAAGACAUGAUAAAAUCCUGAUUUUGUUGAUUUAAACUCAAUAAAAGCUCCCUGGAACACCAGCGUGGUCUCACGUCUUUCUUUGAGCGGUGCUGAGCCCAAACCACGCCGUCCUCCUGCCUUGCACACCACAGUGACACACGAGGGGCAUCCAGUCCCACGGUUUGUGGUUUUGUGUGGUGCCAGCGUGCAUGGAGAUCUCUUGGGCUGCACUGGGAGCUGUGAGGGAUCUAAUGAAUGAGCGACAGAACCGGGGGGUUGGGAUGGACUCGGGGAUCAGGGAGUCCGACCUCCCUGCUGGAAGCUUCCAUAGGGGAGGAGCUUCGUGCCUUCAGCCAUCUCUGGUGCUGUGCUGGGCCAUAGGAGAUCCCGUCCUCCUUCCUCUCCACUCAGUUCAUAGAGGUCAUUGGUUACAAAGCCAUGGUCAGCACUGCAGGGGGAGAAGGCAGACUUUGUUCCCUGAUCAGUUCCUAAUGUAAAUAUCCCAUCGUUGUGGAUCCUGCAGCAAGAGUGUCAUGGUGCUUUUUCUUAGCACGUACGUUUCAUAAUAAAGUACUCAUAUUAGAAGAACCUUUCUGGGUCUACUUACACUUCAACUGUUAGAAAUCAGUAUCCUUCAUCCCACGCUCUUCAUCCUGAAGCUCACAUCCUCAGCCCACGCAUCCAAACCCAUCUCGUUGCACCCUGCGUCCCUCAGCCCUUCUGCAUCCCAGAACCAUGGAAUGUCCUGAGUUGGAAGGGGCUCAUGAAGGAUCAUUGAGUCCACCUGUCUCUGCGCAGGACCACCCCAGACCCUUCACCCUCCUUUUACUGCAUCUCUCAUCGUGCAUCCUUCAUCCCCCCCAGCACCACAUCCCGCACAGCCAGGUGGCCGCCUGGCCAUGCAGUGGGACAUCCAUGGGGACGUGUGGUUGGUCUGGGUGAGCCAAGGCCCAAGGGCAGGGUCUGGGGUGGCUCUAAUGAGUCCCAGCUGUGCUAACAAAGCAGUGACUCCCACCUGCUGUGGGGUUGGGGCUGCCUGGGUCCAUCUGUGCCUUGCUGGGAGCCCAGGGCAGGGAUGGUCCCAAAACCUCUUAACCCGCACUGGGGGCUGUUGAUAGGUUCCUGCUAUUGGGCUCCCACCCUGCUUUUUCUGCUCUGCUUCCUGAAGCUGAGCACAGCCCUGGGGUGCCCUCAGCUCUGCAAAAGGGAAUUGUGGGUGCUGCAGCCCCCUCUGCUUGCAGCAAUGGGGGUGAGCAGGAUGCAGCCAUGCUCCUCCAGCCCCAGUGCUUCUUUCUGGGGAUACAAAACAACACAAGAGGCUGCUAGAAUAGAAGAAAUGCUUGAAAUCUGUUUUAUCUCACUUCCUUUUUUUUUUGGUCUCCUGUUGCAGGGCGAGUGAGGGCUGCAAUAAGGAUCAGCCCAAACCUGAGAGCAGUUCUAGAAACAACAGGACCACAGAGGAGAGGAAGGCAACCAGCUCUGUCUUCGUCUCCCUGUUGAAGAGCUGCAGUGAUGGAGCUUUGCUGGAGGAUGCAGUGUGCCCUCCAUGUAGAGCAGAGGCUGAGCUGACCCAACAGAUGGACCUCAGCUCUUCAGCAUCUUCCUGCGGGAAGGAGGUGGUGGCAGAUUCCAGAGAGAAGCACCGGAGAAGCACCUCUGGGCUGUGGCUGUGAGGAAGGUGGGGGCUGCUUCUUGGUGGUACUCUACCCCCGUGUUGGAAGGUGGGAGGCAGAGCUUGGAGGGGCUGUGCUCAGUGUUCUGCAGCUCCUGCAGUGCUCCAUCGCUCAGGCAGAGGCCUUGAUGUGAUGCUGCUGCUGGGUGAGGAAAGUUUUCUUUACAGAGCUGUCCCCUCUUGGCCACUGGGGGUGGGCUGGCUCCUCUCUGAUGCUGGCCAGGUGUGGGCUGGGGGAACUCAUCUCUGGGGUAGGGGGUGGGAGGAGAGCUCACUAUAUACUGCUUUGAGGAAGGUCCUGAGCUCCGGUGCCUGGCUGGCUGCUUUUCCAGCUACCCACAUGUCUCAGUGAGGCUCUCUACCUUGGGGUGCUUGAAGAGCUUGUAGGUCCCACCCUUGUUCUGGAUGAAGCUGUGCGUGAUCUCCAGCAGUGCUGCCAGGAGCUCAGGUAGGGAGCUUGGUCAGCGUGCAGCAGUGCUGGGUGCUAUCUGCCUUCUUUUCCUCCUUACCUGGGGCAUAUCAAUGAUCUCCUUGUCCUGCAGGAUGCUGAUGACUUGGUGAAGGUUCCCACAGAAAGGGUAACUUUAGAAAAGGGGGAAGAAGAAUGCAAUUGGUGGGGGAGAGGGAAGGAUGAGGCUGAUGGUGCAACUUUUCUUUUCUUGGCAGCUGCUACUGUGAGAGAGCCUUGCCUUGGCUGAGAGGCCAGCCCUAUGCAUGCUGCUUGGCAUGUGCUUGUGGACUCUGCUCCCAGUCUCUGUUAAGAGCACGAUUAUGACUUAAUCCAGUGUAACUGGUGCUCCUGUGUGCCUGACACCGUGCAGAAUCCAGCUGAGCGCCCUGCAUGGGUGCUUGAGCUUUGUCAUACAGCAGCGUGAAGCUCUGCAGGGAAAUGCUUGAGCAAGUGCUCUCUGUUCCACUUGGAUCGAAGGCAGCAGCAGAGCUGAGCGGAGGCUGCAGGGAAGACACGGUUUGCCAAAGGCCCUGCUGCAUUUAUUCAGCUCUCACACCAGUUACAUGGUUACAGAGCUGCUACCAAGGGCUGAGCCUGCAUCUUCCUGCUGUGCUCCCAGUGGCUGCCUGCAGCAGGCUAAAACGGCCUGAGGAUGUGGAGCACAUCAUGCACCUCCUCUGCCCUCUUGUGUAAGAGCAGCACUGCUGCUUCAGGAAAACAAAAGCAGCUGGGGUGCAUGGUUCUUGUUUAUCCAUGCUCCCUGCUGGGGCUUUAAAUAUCUCUCUAAGUGGAGACCAUGAGUUGUCUGUAACAGCAGUGCCAAUGUUUGACCAUCAAUAAAGUGCUCUGUGCUUCCUUGG
Molecule: non-coding RNA, 4949 nt
Organism: Meleagris gallopavo (turkey)
Lineage: Eukaryota; Metazoa; Chordata; Aves; Galliformes; Phasianidae
Source: RefSeq, a predicted model, not a curated record